GAGUUAUAUGAAAAGAGAUGUUUAGCAUCUCCCUUGAUAUCUAUGCACACACAAGUUAAAACAUUGCUACCUUCUUUGUGAUAUCUAACCAAGCUUUUCA
This 100-nucleotide non-coding RNA is filed under the name Notamacropus eugenii (tammar wallaby). Lineage: Eukaryota; Metazoa; Chordata; Mammalia; Diprotodontia; Macropodidae. The record is from RNAcentral.